AAAUUGAAGAGUUUGAUCAUGGCUCAGAUUGAACGCUGGCGGCAGGCCUAACACAUGCAAGUCGAACGGUAACAGGAAGCAGCUUGCUGCUUUGCUGACAAGUGGCGGACGGGUGAGUAAUGUCUGGGAAACUGCCUGAUGGAGGGGGAUAACUACUGGAAACGGUAGCUAAUACCGCAUAACGUCGCAAGACCAAAGAGGGGGACCUUCGGGCCUCUUGCCAUUGGAUGUGCCCAGAUGGGAUUAGCUAGUAGGUGGGGUAACGGCUCACCUAGGCGACGAUCCCUAGCUGGUCUGAGAGGAUGACCAGCCACACUGGAACUGAGACACGGUCCAGACUCCUACGGGAG
Molecule: ribosomal RNA, 350 nt
Filed under: Escherichia coli
Lineage: Bacteria; Pseudomonadati; Pseudomonadota; Gammaproteobacteria; Enterobacterales; Enterobacteriaceae
Description: bacterial SSU rRNA
Rfam family: Bacterial small subunit ribosomal RNA
Source: RNAcentral